CCUACGGGAGGCAGCAGUGAGGAAUAUUGGUCAAUGGCCGAGAGGCUGAACCAGCCAAGUCGCGUGAGGGAAGAAUGUCCUAUGGAUUGUAAACCUCUUUUGUCAGGGAGCAAAGUCACCCAUGUGUGGGUGUUGGAGAGUACCUGAAGAAAAAGCAUCGGCUAACUCCGUGCCAGCAGCCGCGGUAAUACGGAGGAUGCGAGCGUUAUCCGGAUUUAUUGGGUUUAAAGGGUGCGUAGGCGGGUUAUCAGGUCAGCGGUAAAAUCGUGGAGCUAAACUCCAACCUGCCGUUGAAACUGAUAAUCUUGAGUAGGCGAGAGGUAGGCGGAAUGCGUGGUGUAGCGGUGAAAUGCAUAGAUAUCACGCAGAACUCCGAUUGCGAAGGCAGCAUGCCAGCGCCCGACUGACGCUGAAGCACGAAAGCGUGGGUAUCAAACAGGAUUAGAUACCCUUGUAGUC
RNAcentral lists this ribosomal RNA (459 nucleotides) under uncultured bacterium. RNAcentral describes it as "partial 16S ribosomal RNA". It matches the Rfam family "Bacterial small subunit ribosomal RNA", at positions 338 to 795 of the family's 1533-position model. The record is from RNAcentral.